Molecule: non-coding RNA, 153 nt
Filed under: Lotharella globosa
Lineage: Eukaryota; Cercozoa; Chlorarachniophyceae
Source: RNAcentral
ACAAAGAAAUAGUCGCAACACACAAGAAAAAAUGAAGGCGAAACAACGACGACAAAGAACAAUACCAUGCGAUGAUGAUGAUGAUGGACGACACACCUGUCCGUUUCUUUCGUUUCUACUUUUGUUUCAUGAUUUUUCGAUGCUUUGUUCGUU